Molecule: ribosomal RNA, 504 nt
Filed under: uncultured Bacilli bacterium
Lineage: Bacteria; Bacillati; Bacillota; Bacilli
Description: bacterial SSU rRNA
Rfam family: Bacterial small subunit ribosomal RNA
Source: RNAcentral
GAAGGAGGAGCUUGCUUCUCUGGAUGAGUUGCGAACGGGUGAGUAACGCGUAGGUAACCUGCCUGGUAGCGGGGGAUAACUAUUGGAAACGAUAGCUAAUACCGCAUAACAGUAGAUGUUGCAUGACAUUUGCUUAAAAGGUGCAAUUGCAUCACUACCAGAUGGACCUGCGUUGUAUUAGCUAGUUGGUGGGGUAACGGCUCACCAAGGCGACGAUACAUAGCCGACCUGAGAGGGUGAUCGGCCACACUGGGACUGAGACACGGCCCAGACUCCUACGGGAGGCAGCAGUAGGGAAUCUUCGGCAAUGGACGGAAGUCUGACCGAGCAACGCCGCGUGAGUGAAGAAGGUUUUCGGAUCGUAAAGCUCUGAUGUAAGAGAAGAACGAGUGUGAGAGUGGAAAGUUCACACUGUGACGGUAUCUUACCAGAAAGGGACGGCUAACUACGUGCCAGCAGCCGCGGGUAUACGUAGGUCCCGAGCGUAGUCCGGAUACAUAGGGC